AGCAGCCGCGGUAAUUCCAGCUCCAAUAGCGUAUAUUAAAGUUGCUGCAGUUAAAAAGCUCGUAGUUGAAUUUCGGGACUAAUAUGUUGGUCGUGCCUCGGUACGUACUGAUAUUUUUGGUUUCUCCCUUCUGACGAACCUUGAUGUCAUUAAUUUGGUGUCUUGGGAAAUCAGGACUGUUACUUUGAAAAAAUUAGAGUGUUUAAAGCAGGCUCACGCUUGAAUACAUUAGCAUGGAAUAAUGAAAUAGGACGUUUGAUUCUAUUUUGUUGGUUUCUAGGAUUGACGUAAUGAUUAAUAGGGAUAGUUGGGGGCAUUAGUAUUCAAUUGUCAGAGGUGAAAUUCUUGGAUUUAUUGAAGACUAACUACUGCGAAAGCAUUUGCCAAGGAUGUUUUCAUUAAUCAAGAACGAAAGUUAGGGGAUCGAAGACGAUCAGAUACCGUCGUAGUCUUAACCAUAAACUAUGCCGACUAGGGAUCGGAUGAUGUUAAUUUUUUCAAUGACUCAUUCGGCGCCUUA
This 520-nucleotide ribosomal RNA is filed under the name uncultured Glomus. RNAcentral describes it as "SSU rRNA". It matches the Rfam family "Eukaryotic small subunit ribosomal RNA", at positions 569 to 1090 of the family's 1831-position model. The record is from RNAcentral. Lineage: Eukaryota; Fungi; Glomeromycota; Glomeromycetes; Glomerales; Glomeraceae.